AAGCCUGACUCAACAUCCUUGGUCCACCUCUUCUAAUGAGGAGAAGGUGCAAAGACAAUCUGGGUGGAGGUGAAUUGUCUAUGAGAAUAGAGGUAAGGUAAAUUUGCUAUGAAAUCUUUUGAAAAAAAGGCCAGAACAGGAUAGGAAUCUCACAACAGCACUGUCCAACAGCACUCCAAUUUAGCUCUGUCUGUGCUUAAGGCAAAGCCUUAUUUCAGAGGGGAAGUUAUAAUGCCCUGUAGAUGCUGGGAAGGCUCCAGGUGAUCAAGAGCAAAUUUGUUUUUUCUGAAACAAACGGGAUCUUGUUUCCUCUAUACUGUUUAACUCUUAACACACAAAAAAUGCUAAAGGUAGAAUCAGAGUAAUGAUAAAUAUUAAUUAUGUGGGUGAUACAGUACAGAAUUUAAAUGAAAAUUAUUUUUUAAAAUAUUCAGUUGUUAUAUACUCAGGUAUGCUGAUAUUUCAAUAUAGUGAUUCAAAAGCAUGAUCUUUCAUCACUUAGGUUAUUUGCACUUUAUUUCAAUCGAUGUCAUGAAAUUCCCAGGAACAAACAUGUACUUUAUUUAUUACAAAAUCCCUAUAAUACCUCUAGGAAAGGAGACAUUAUUAGCAAAUGAAAGAUAGAUUGACAUAAUAUCUAAAUAUUUUGGAAAACACUUAUUUUGUAAUAAAAGAAAUGCCUCUUUUAACUGGAAGAUAAAAAACUGGGGUAAAAUUCACCAUUGCCUUCAUAAUUUGAGAGCGGAACUGUUGAAGCUCACUAUUUCGAAGACUGUCAUAGGAGCCAACACUGUCAGCAUUUCUAACGGACGGCUCCUUAGAGUUCUGGCACGCUAUCUUUGGUGUAGACUGGCAUUAUAGUGGAUUAGCUUUUCACUUUCUUUCCAGCUCGUUUUCCCUUCUACAUACACAAUAUGUCUGUGUCUACUUUAUUUCUAUCAAGCUGAAGAAAAUGAGCUGAGGUAGAAGAGAGGGAAAAUUGACAGAGGAUACAUUCCUGACCAGCAUUUGUUAUAUAUUCUCUAACAGAUAGGGAGACGUGUCAAAGGAUGACCAGAAUUUAUUAUCUUUCAAGACACAAAUCCUGUCUUGAUUUGGAUGAAGUUAAAAGGAGUUUAACCUUCAGAAAGUUAUACUUGGAUCUAAGUUUUGAAUGUCUGCCAGUGCUAUUUGAUUAUCUUUCCAACAGGGAUCUAGAAUUUUCCUUAUUCACACUAAUUCUUUUUUGGAAGUUUGCAGAUAGACAAAAUAUACAUUAAAUUUAUUCUUACAAAAAUUUGAGUGUCCUAGUAUAGGCUGUUUCAACACUGAGAAUUGUUAACAUUUGUGCCACAUUUCUUUGUUUUGAGAGGCUGUCCUAUGGUACUCAAUUUGUGGCAACAAAAUGCACCCAAACAUUACCAACAGUCACCUGGGAGGCAAAACCACUCCCAGUUUAGAAUCACUCAACUAAUAGAAAGGAAAACUUAUGCCAUAUUUCUCUUUUUUGUUGUUUGCUUUAUCUUUCUGUUGCACUUAAAACAAGGUAGUAACUGUCAUUUUACACUUUUAUUCUCCUGUUUCUCAACGCUUCGUACUGAUUGACUUUUGGAAGUUUUCCUUUUCAAAAUUAUGCAAAAUUAAAGAUUGAGUCAGAAAUAGUCUUUCUGGCUUCCUAUUAACCAUAAUUCCUUAUUAGCCAGCUCCUUCAUACUUAUGAGUAAAAUGACAUUUAAUAUCUAUAAUAAACUCAAAGUCCUGUGAAAGUCUCAAGUACCUUUUCAACAGCAGAAAGAAAAUUGUUUCAUUAAGUAUGGUUUUAAGGUUAAGUGUAUUUUAUUCCAUUCAGUCUUUGUUUAUCUGUUUAUAUUUUUACUUUGCCUUAAUUUAUGAAAUAUAGCUUGCUGGGUUCUUGGUUGACAAUUAUUGUUGUUUGUUUUUCUUUUGCUAUUUGAAAUAUCUUGACCACUGUCUCCUGACCUCUAUGGUUUCUGACAAGAAGUCAACUGUUAAUCUUAAUGGGGUUCUCUUGUACAUAGUGAUUAAUUUUCUUUUGAUUUUUCAAGAUUUUUUCUUUGUAUUUAUCUUUCAGGUGUUUGGCUGUGAUGUGUCUAGGUGUGAAUCUCUCUAUGCUUAACUUUUUGGAGGUUGUUAAGGUUUUUAGAUAUGUACAGUCUUUUCAGAAACUUUUUAGCCACCAUUUCCUUGAAUAAGUUUCCUUCCCUUUUCUUGCUCUCCUCUCAUUUUGGUACUAACAUUUAUACAUAUGUCAUUUUGUUGGAGCAUGUCCCACAGAUCUCUGAGGCUCUGUUCAUUUUACUUAUUUUUUCUUUUGGUACCUAGGAUUGGGAUACUUCUAUUGAUCUAUCUUUAAUUUCACUUAUUCUUCUUUGUGAUCAAAUCUCCUGUUGAGUCCCUCUCAUAAAUUUUUCAUUUCAGUUAUUUUUUUUGUAACUCAAAAAAAUUGGCUUCUUUUUCUCAUAAUUUCUAAUUAUUAAUACUCUUUAUUUGCUAUAUAUUAUCAUACAUUCCUUUAAUUUUUAAAAUAAAGCUUCUGUGAGUGCUUUAAAUGUAUUUAUAAUAACUGAUUGAAAUAUUUGUCUACUAAAUUCAACAACUAGUUACCUUUAAAAUUAUUUUCUUUAUCCACAUGUUUUCACUCUAUGGGUCAUACCUACAUUUGUAUGCACAAAUUUCAUAGUUUUUGAGACAUUUUACACUGUAAAAUAUAAUUUAUAAAAACUCUGGACUGUGAUUCUCAUCCCUCAGUGUUGGUUGACUCUGGUACUUUAUAUUUACUUGUUUAGCAAAUUAUUUCUGUAAAUUUUGUGAAGUCCUGUUCCUCCAUUGUGUGUAGCCUCUGAUAUCACUACUCAGAUACUUUUUGAAAAAAAAAUUAAGUCUAAAUUACUAAAUUACUAAAGCUUAGUAACCAGCCAGUGAUUGGUCAGAAGUUUUGCUUAAGCCCCCUGUGGCAGUUAGGUUUCCAUGCAUUGUCAGUGGAUCUAUGUGGCCUUGGAAUUCUUCAGAAGUUAAAAGUGUUUACAGAUCUAUUGAUUAUUCAGACAGAGUCUGGGGGCCCACAGAUCCUCCCUUCCAUUGCUCCUGCAUGGGCAUUUUUUCAAGCAGAUACUCAGCCUUCCAGACCACCAGAAAUUAGUGUAAUCUUAGUGGGGUCCUUUUGACUAUUCUUUGUCUCUGGGUCUACCUGUUAAAAUUGUCUGCUUUGCUGUUUUUGUUUUUGUUUUCUACACCUAUAAUGGAGAUGUUAGUCUUUCCUGGUUAAAGGCCACUGUGAUUUCUUUUGGAUUUAGACAACAUUUCUCUGGUUUUGGUUUGUUUGUUUGUUUUCAUUUUAUGUUUCAAAUAAAGUCAACCCCCUCAGGCAAGGAUGCUUAGCUAUUUCUCAUAGCUUUUCAUGCCUUUCCUGGGCAGAAUUUCUGUAACAUAGAGCUGAAGCUAGCAAGAUAAGGGGAGCCACUGGUUCUCACAAGCUGCCCUGGGAAUACUUGGAGUGGAACUUCUAAAUCCUGGAGCUAGGAAGAGAAUAUGGGAACUAUAGGUAUUUAUGGGCUACUCCACCUGCCAGUAUGUGACAUGGAGCAGGAGUGGAAAGGAUGUAGCAGCCUUUCAAAAAAAUAACACAAACCUCUAAUAUUCUUAAUGAGACUCAUAGAUUACCUUAAAUAAAUGCUUCCAAUUUUAUAUAUCUUUUAAAAAUAAAUUUUCAGAGACUGAAUAUAGUUGUUAAUUUUAUAGUUUUGCCUAGUUUUCCUUUUUCUACAAAGAGAGGAUUUCUCAGCUCCUUCUAGCCAUUCUGGAACACUUUGGUUUUAUUUAAUAUAGGUAAUCAAGAUAUGUAAAAGCAAAAUAACUGAAUGGAUUUAGUAAUCUAUAAGGCUCCUUUAAAUUCUUAAUUCUUUAUGAUUUUCUGGAGCAUAACAUACAUGGUAGAGUCUUUUACAACUUACCUCCAUGGAUUAUAAUUUAUUUUGCCUAUUUCAAUAUUUCCCAUGAAAGAAAUUGAAGAUAUAUAUAAAUUAAAUUACAUUUGGGUUAGCAAUUCACUUAAACUGACCAAAAGUUUAGUUUUAUCUAGAAAUUUAAAUAAAUGUGAACAUGUUGCAAUGCUUACCUUUCCUUCACGUGCCUUUACCCAAAUUUCCUCUACCAAAACAUACUAUGUUAUUUGUUCAUGGAAUGCACUGUUUCUUUUUAUUUUUCUUAUGAAACCAGCUUUAGUCAUACAAGCAAUUCAACUCAAAUAGAUAAGAAAAAACCAUCAAAAUUGUGUUUUUCAAAGGAUAAAUGGCACCUUUAAGAUAUGCAUGCUAAAGAGGUUCAGUUAAAAAUGAUAGCCGUCAGAGUUCCUGUCAUGGCUCAGUAGAAACUAAUCUGACUAGUAUUGAUGAGAAUGCAGGUUUAAUCCCUGGUCUUGCACAGUGGGUUAAGGAUCUGGCAUUGCCCUGAGCUGUGGUAUAGGUCCCAGACGCUGCUCAGAUCCCAUGUUGCUGUGGCUUUAGUGUAGGCUGACAGCUACAGCUCUGAUUCAACCCCUAGCCUGGGAACCUC
RNAcentral lists this long non-coding RNA (4551 nucleotides) under Sus scrofa (pig). RNAcentral describes it as "lncRNA (ENSSSCG00000062687.1)". Lineage: Eukaryota; Metazoa; Chordata; Mammalia; Artiodactyla; Suidae. The record is from RNAcentral.